Molecule: non-coding RNA, 162 nt
Organism: Triticum urartu
Lineage: Eukaryota; Viridiplantae; Streptophyta; Magnoliopsida; Poales; Poaceae
Source: Rfam
AUAGGUCAUCGCUGCAGCAUACUCGACUGAUCAAGAAAGGUCGUGGCCUAGAUCAACUGCUCACAUUGCACUUGAUGAGCGUGUUGUUCUACCAUCUCCCCAAUUAGGAGAAUGGACAGCAUAAUUUUUUGUAGAGGGGGCAUGCGUUUGUGCGGCCCCUAC